Molecule: long non-coding RNA, 194 nt
Organism: Columba livia (rock pigeon)
Lineage: Eukaryota; Metazoa; Chordata; Aves; Columbiformes; Columbidae
Exons: 3
Source: RefSeq, a predicted model, not a curated record
AUAAACCAGUAUAAACCAGUAUGACCAGUCACUCACGGUGAUGAAGCCGUAGCCCCUGGACUGGCCGGUGUCGGGGUCGCGCAUCAGCACGAUGCUGUCGAUCUGGGGACACGGGGACACCCCAAGGUCACCGGGGGGUCCCCAAGGUCACCAGGGGGUCCCCAAGGUCACCAGGGGGUCCCCAAUGUCCCCAA